This is a non-coding RNA of Pelobates cultripes (western spadefoot toad), 230 nucleotides long. The record is from the annotation of a GenBank genome assembly. Lineage: Eukaryota; Metazoa; Chordata; Amphibia; Anura; Pelobatidae.
CUGGUGUUUGGGAAGGAGCCUCGAUCCCUUUACAGCACCUGUAUCAGACAUACUGAAUUUCCUUUCCACUUUGUUUUCCAACGGAAAAUCAUACCGAUCCAUUAACGUUACACGAUCCGCUAUAUCGGCGGCUCAUGUUCCAGUUAACGGGACUCCAGUGGGCCAGGAAGCCUUAAUAUGUCGACUAUUACGAGGGAUCAAAUUGGCUAGACCACCGACACCGAGGUAUC